UAACACAUGCAAGUCGAGGGGCAGCAUGGUCUUAGCUUGCUAAGGCCGAUGGCGACCGGCGCACGGGUGAGUAACACGUAUCCAACCUGCCGUCUACUCUUGGACAGCCUUCUGAAAGGAAGAUUAAUACAAGAUGGCAUCAUGAGUCCGCAUGUUCACAUGAUUAAAGGUAUUCCGGUAGACGAUGGGGAUGCGUUCCAUUAGAUAGUAGGCGGGGUAACGGCCCACCUAGUCUUCGAUGGAUAGGGGUUCUGAGAGGAAGGUCCCCCACAUUGGAACUGAGACACGGUCCAAACUCCUACGGGAGGCAGCAGUGAGGAAUAUUGGUCAAUGGGCGAGAGCCUGAACCAGCCAAGUAGCGUGAAGGAUGACUGCCCUAUGGGUUGUAAACUUCUUUUAUAAAGGAAUAAAGUCGGGUAUGCAUACCCGUUUGCAUGUACUUUAUGAAUAAGGAUCGGCUAACUCCGUGCCAGCAGCCGCGGUAAUACGGAGGAUCCGAGCGUUAUCCGGAUUUAUUGGGUUUAAAGGGAGCGUAGAUGGAUGUUCAAGUCAGUUGUGAAAGUUUGCGGCUCAACCGUAAAAUUGCAGUUGACACUGGAUAUCUUGAGUGCAGUUGAGGCAGGCGGAAUUCGUGGUGUAGCGGUGAAAUGCUUAGAUAUCACGAAGAACUCCGAUUGCGAAGGCAGCCUGCUAAGCUGCAACUGACAUUGAGGCUCGAAAGUGUGGGUAUCAAACAGGAUUAGAUACCCUGGUAGUCCACACGGUAAACGAUGAAUACUCGCUGUUUGCGAUAUACAGCAAGCGGCCAAGCGAAAGCGUUAAGUAUUCCACCUGGGGAGUACGCCGGCAACGGUGAAACUCAAAGGAAUUGACGGGGGCCCGCACAAGCGGAGGAACAUGUGGUUUAAUUCGAUGAUACGCGAGGAACCUUACCCGGGCUUAAAUUGCAGAUGAAUUACGGUGAAAGCCGUAAGCCGCAAGGCAUCUGUGAAGGUGCUGCAUGGUUGUCGUCAGCUCGUGCCGUGAGGUGUCGGCUUAAGUGCCAUAACGAGCGCAACCCUUGUUGUCAGUUACUAACAGGUUCCGCUGAGGACUCUGACAAGACUGCCAUCGUAAGAUGUGAGGAAGGUGGGGAUGACGUCAAAUCAGCACGGCCCUUACGUCCGGGGCUACACACGUGUUACAAUGGGGGGGUACAGAGGGCCGCUACCACGCGAGUGGAUGCCAAUCCCAAAAACCUCUCUCAGUUCGGACUGGAGUCUGCAACCCGACUCCACGAAGCUGGAUUCGCUAGUAAUCGCGCAUCAGCCACGGCGCGGUGAAUACGUUCCCGGGCCUUGUACACACCGCCCGUCAAGCCAUGGGAGCCGGGGGUACCUGAAGUGCGUAACCGCGAGGAGCGCCCUAGGGUAAAACUGGUGACUGGGGCUAAGUCAU
RNAcentral lists this ribosomal RNA (1437 nucleotides) under uncultured organism. Its description in RNAcentral is "SSU rRNA". It matches the Rfam family "Bacterial small subunit ribosomal RNA". The record is from RNAcentral.